AUGAGUAAUGACGCCUUCUCAAUCUGCUCCUGGAAUGUACAUGGUCUUGGUGAUAAUGAUAAAUGCUCCGAUGUUCUCUCCGAAUUGACAGCGAUUAAGCCGCACAUUACCCUCUUGCAAGAAUCAAAACCCGACACUCUCUUUGACCUCAAACUAAGAUCCUUCUUGCCACGACAUCUCGACCAAGUGUUCUCAUUACCAGCUGUGGGCACCGCGGGUGGCACCAUCUCUGCCAUCAACUCUGCCUCUUUUCAAGUUGUCUCCUACUCACACCUAACCUUCUCAUCCACCCUAAUCCUACAAUCAACUGCGUGCGCCCAACACAUUGCCAUCACAAACAUCUACGCUCCGUCGUCAUGAUCACUCAAGUAAGCCUUCUUAAAUGAACUCUCAUCUAUCUCACAACCAGACGACACCCCCUGGAUUAUCGCUGGCGACUUCAACCUUAUCCGCUUCCCCUAUGAUAAAAACAACCCUGCCUUCCGCCACGCUGAAGCCAAUGCGUUCAACCAAACCCUAGACGACUUAGCUCUCAUAGAAUUGCCCCUACUUGCUCGCAGGUACACCUGGUCAAACAAUAGAGCCACCCCCACCUUAGAACGGUUAGAUCGCGUUUUCUUUAACCUAGCAUGGGCUGACGCCUUCCCUAACACCUCGCUAUCCUCUCAUACUCGUUUCACGUCCGAUCACGUCCCACUUCUCAUCCACGUCACCACCACCAUCCCACGAUCCAAUUUCUUCAAAUUUUAG
This 750-nucleotide ribosomal RNA is filed under the name Triticum aestivum (bread wheat). Its description in RNAcentral is "partial small subunit ribosomal RNA". Lineage: Eukaryota; Viridiplantae; Streptophyta; Magnoliopsida; Poales; Poaceae. The record is from RNAcentral.